UCCCGCUUACACGGGCAGUUCCCAAAGAGUUCCCGACUUUACGCUGGCAACAUUGGGUAAGGGUUGCGCUCGUUGCGGGACUUAACCCAACAUCUCACGACACGAGCUGACGACAACCAUGCAACACCUGUCUCCCGGUCAUAUUGCUAUGAAGAUCCGCUUUCACGGACUGUCCGAGGAUGUCAAACCCUGGUAAGGUUCUUCGGUUAGUGACGAAUUAAUGCACAUGCUCCACCGCUUGUGCGGGCCCCCGUCAAUUCCUUUGAGUUUCAACCUUGCGGCCGUACUCCCCAGGCGGAGUGCUUAUUGCGUUAGCUGCGGCACAAGGGGGGUCGAUACCCCUUACACCUAGCACUCAUCGUUUACGGCGUGGACUAC
This 378-nucleotide unclassified non-coding RNA is filed under the name uncultured Armatimonadales bacterium. RNAcentral's name for it is "contains 16S-23S intergenic spacer region". The record is from RNAcentral. Lineage: Bacteria; Bacillati; Armatimonadota; Armatimonadia; Armatimonadales.